GGCGAACGGGUGCGUAAUGCAUGGGAAUCUGCCUAGUAGUGGGGAAUAACCCGGCGAAAGCCAGGCUAAUGCCGCAUACGACCUACGGGUGAAAGCGGGGGAUCGCAAGACCUCGCGCUAUUAGAUGAGCCCAUGUCGGAUUAGCUAGUUGGUAGGGUAACGGCCUACCAAGGCGACGAUCCGUAGCUGGUCUGAGAGGACGGCCAGCCACACUGGGACUGAGACACGGCCCAGACUCCUACGGGAGGCAGCAGUGGGGAAUUUUGGACAAUGGGGGCAACCCUGAUCCAGCGACGCCGCGUGUGUGAAGAAGGCCUGCGGGUUGUAAAGCACUUUCGUUGGGAACGAAAUAUGCCGACCUAAUACGUCGGUAGGCUGACGUUACCCAAAUAAGAAGCACCGGCUAACUCUGUGCCAGCAGCCGCGGUAAUACAGAGGGUGCGAGCGUUAAUCGGAAUUACUGGGCGUAAAGCGCACGUAGGCGGCUAUGUAAGUCAGGUGUGAAAUCCCCGGGCUCAACCUGGGAACUGCAUUUGAGACUGCAUGGCUAGAGUAUGGGAGAGGAAGGCGGAAUUCC
This 577-nucleotide ribosomal RNA is filed under the name uncultured beta proteobacterium. RNAcentral's name for it is "bacterial SSU rRNA". It matches the Rfam family "Bacterial small subunit ribosomal RNA", at positions 97 to 670 of the family's 1533-position model. Lineage: Bacteria; Pseudomonadati; Pseudomonadota; Betaproteobacteria. The record is from RNAcentral.